AUUGAACGCUGGCGGCAGGCUUAACACAUGCAAGUCGAGCAGGGUGAUGGUGCUUGCACUAUCACUUAGCGGCGGACGGGUGAGUAAUGCUUAGGAAUCUGCCUAUUAGUGGGGGACAACAUCUCGAAAGGGAUGCUAAUACCGCAUACGUCCUACGGGAGAAAGCAGGGGAUCACUUGUGACCUUGCGCUAAUAGAUGAGCCUAAGUCGGAUUAGCUAGUUGGUGGGGUAAAGGCCUACCAAGGCGACGAUCUGUAGCGGGUCUGAGAGGAUGAUCCGCCAAACUGGGACUGAGACACGGCCCAGACUCCUACGGGAGGCAGCAGUGGGGAAUAUUGGACAAUGGGGGGAACCCUGAUCCAGCCAUGCCGCGUGUGUGAAGAAGGCCUUAUGGUUGUAAAGCACUUUAAGCGAGGAGGAGGCUUACCUAGUUAAUACCUGGGAUAAGUGGACGUUACUCGCAGAAUAAGCACCGGCUAACUCUGUGCCAGCCGCCGCCGUAA
This 503-nucleotide ribosomal RNA is filed under the name uncultured bacterium. Its description in RNAcentral is "partial 16S ribosomal RNA". It matches the Rfam family "Bacterial small subunit ribosomal RNA", at positions 30 to 523 of the family's 1533-position model. The record is from RNAcentral.